RNAcentral lists this ribosomal RNA (275 nucleotides) under uncultured bacterium. RNAcentral describes it as "partial 16S ribosomal RNA". It matches the Rfam family "Bacterial small subunit ribosomal RNA", at positions 399 to 691 of the family's 1533-position model. The record is from RNAcentral.
GCGUGGGUGAUGAAGGCCUUCGGGUUGUAAAGCCCUUUUGGCGGGGACGAUGAUGACGGUACCCGCAGAAUAAGCCCCGGCUAACUUCGUGCCAGCAGCCGCGGUAAGACGAAGGGGGCUAGCGUUGUUCGGAAUUACUGGGCGUAAAGGGCGCGCAGGCGGUCUUGCAAGUCGGGCGUUAAAGACCUGGGCUUAACCCGGGGAAUGCGCUCGAUACUGCAAGGCUUGAGAUCGAGAGAGGAGAGUGGAAUUCCCAGUGUAGAGGUGAAAUUCGU